GCAGGUGGGACACCAGCUCAUCACCAACAUCGAGGUGAUGAACGAUGCCAUGAAGGAGGCCGCCCAGGCGAAGGAAGGCCAUCUGGCUGGGGCCGCCCACCUCGAGGAGAAGAUCGUCGAGGUCCUAAGCCUCCAGGAGGCACUGAAAAAGGAGGAACAAACCUCGUCCGAUCUGAGGACCGCCUUGGAGGAGGAGAGAAAGAAGGCUGAG
This 211-nucleotide long non-coding RNA is filed under the name Elaeis guineensis (African oil palm). Its description in RNAcentral is "long non-coding RNA (EGUI_LNC079513)". Lineage: Eukaryota; Viridiplantae; Streptophyta; Magnoliopsida; Arecales; Arecaceae. The record is from RNAcentral.